Molecule: ribosomal RNA, 1040 nt
Filed under: Salmonella enterica
Lineage: Bacteria; Pseudomonadati; Pseudomonadota; Gammaproteobacteria; Enterobacterales; Enterobacteriaceae
Also listed under: 3 other names
Description: partial 16S ribosomal RNA
Rfam family: Bacterial small subunit ribosomal RNA
Source: RNAcentral
GCUGACGAGUGGCGGACGGGUGAGUAAUGUCUGGGAAACUGCCUGAUGGAGGGGGAUAACUACUGGAAACGGUGGCUAAUACCGCAUAACGUCGCAAGACCAAAGAGGGGGACCUUCGGGCCUCUUGCCAUCAGAUGUGCCCAGAUGGGAUUAGCUUGUUGGUGAGGUAACGGCUCACCAAGGCGACGAUCCCUAGCUGGUCUGAGAGGAUGACCAGCCACACUGGAACUGAGACACGGUCCAGACUCCUACGGGAGGCAGCAGUGGGGAAUAUUGCACAAUGGGCGCAAGCCUGAUGCAGCCAUGCCGCGUGUAUGAAGAAGGCCUUCGGGUUGUAAAGUACUUUCAGCGGGGAGGAAGGUGUUGUGGUUAAUAACCGCAGCAAUUGACGUUACCCGCAGAAGAAGCACCGGCUAACUCCGUGCCAGCAGCCGCGGUAAUACGGAGGGUGCAAGCGUUAAUCGGAAUUACUGGGCGUAAAGCGCACGCAGGCGGUCUGUCAAGUCGGAUGUGAAAUCCCCGGGCUCAACCUGGGAACUGCAUUCGAAACUGGCAGGCUUGAGUCUUGUAGAGGGGGGUAGAAUUCCAGGUGUAGCGGUGAAAUGCGUAGAGAUCUGGAGGAAUACCGGUGGCGAAGGCGGCCCCCUGGACAAAGACUGACGCUCAGGUGCGAAAGCGUGGGGAGCAAACAGGAUUAGAUACCCUGGUAGUCCACGCCGUAAACGAUGUCUACUUGGAGGUUGUGCCCUUGAGGCGUGGCUUCCGGAGCUAACGCGUUAAGUAGACCGCCUGGGGAGUACGGCCGCAAGGUUAAAACUCAAAUGAAUUGACGGGGGCCCGCACAAGCGGUGGAGCAUGUGGUUUAAUUCGAUGCAACGCGAAGAACCUUACCUGGUCUUGACAUCCACAGAAGAAUCCAGAGAUGGAUUUGUGCCUUCGGGAACUGUGAGACAGGUGCUGCAUGGCUGUCGUCAGCUCGUGUUGUGAAAUGUUGGGUUAAGUCCCGCAACGAGCGCAACCCUUAUCCUUUGUUGCCAGCG